GCCAUUUUAGCUCUAGUGGUAGAGCGUGUCUCUCGUAAAGACAAGGUCGCGUGUUCGAAUCGCGCAAGUGGCA
This is a non-coding RNA of Choanephora cucurbitarum, 73 nucleotides long. The record is from Rfam. NCBI's taxonomy places the organism in Eukaryota, Fungi, Mucoromycota, Mucoromycetes, Mucorales, Choanephoraceae.